RNAcentral lists this ribosomal RNA (937 nucleotides) under uncultured bacterium. RNAcentral's name for it is "bacterial SSU rRNA". It matches the Rfam family "Bacterial small subunit ribosomal RNA", at positions 8 to 916 of the family's 1533-position model. The record is from RNAcentral.
AGAGUUUGAUCAUGGCUCAGAAUGAACGCUGGCGGCGUGCUAACAACAUGCAAGUCGUACGAGAAAUCCCGAGCUUGCUUGGGAGAGUAAAGUGGCGCACGGGUGAGUAACGCGUGGGUAACCCACUUUCGAAUCUGGGAUAACUCCGCGAAAGCGGUGCUAAUACCGGAUAAGACCACAGCCGUUUCGGCGGCAGAGGUAAAAGCUGACCUCUCCAUGGAAGUUAGCGUUCGAAGACGGGCCCGCGUCCUAUCAGCUUGUUGGUGGGGUAAAGGCCUACCAAGGCAGCGACGGGUAGCUGGUCUGAGAGGAUGAUCAGCCACACUGGAACUGGAACACGGUCCAGACUCCUACGGGAGGCAGCAGUGAGGAAUUUUGCGCAAUGGGGGAAACCCUGACGCAGCAACGCCGCGUGGGUGAAGAAGGCUUUCGGGUCGUAAAGCCCUGUCAGGUGGGAAGAAACUCUUCAGUACUAAUAAUGCUGAAGCCUGACGGUACCACCAGAGGAAGCACCGGCCAACUCCGUGCCAGCAGCCGCGGUAAUACGGAGGGUGCAAGCGUUGUUCGGAAUUAUUGGGCGUAAAGAGCGUAUAGGCGGCUUGGUAAGUCAGAUGUGAAAGCCCUGGGCUCAACCCAGGAAGUGCAUUUGAAACUACCAGACUUGAGUACGGGAGAGGAGGGGGGAAUUCCCGGUGUAGAGGUGAAAUUCGUAGAUAUCGGGAGGAAUACCGGUGGCGAAGGCGCCCCUCUGGACCGAUACUGACGCUGAGACGCGAAAGCGUGGGGAGCAAACAGGAUUAGAUACCCUGGUAGUCCACGCCGUAAACGAUGAGCACUAGGUGUAGCGGGUAUUGACCUCUGCUGUGCCGUAGCUAACGCAUUAAGUGCUCCGCCUGGGGACUACGGUCGCAAGACUAAAACUCAAAUGAAUUGACGG